RNAcentral lists this long non-coding RNA (5597 nucleotides) under Hordeum vulgare. RNAcentral describes it as "long non-coding RNA (HVUL_LNC013478)". The record is from RNAcentral. Lineage: Eukaryota; Viridiplantae; Streptophyta; Magnoliopsida; Poales; Poaceae.
GGGGAAUCCAUCUCCAGUGGCCAUUUUCAUCAUCCCGGUGAUCUCCAUGACGAGGAGGGAGUAGUUCUCCCUUGGCAUGAGGGUAUGUACCAGUAGUUAUGUGUUUGAUCUCUCUCUCUCUCAUGUUCUUGAGAUGUCUUGAUCUCGAUGUACCAUGGUCUUUGCUACUAUAGUUGGAUCUUAUGAUGUUCUUCCCCCUCUCCCUCUUGUAAUGAAUUGAGUUUCCCCUUUGGAGUUAUCUUAUCGGAUUGAGUCUUUGAGAACACUUGAUGUAUGUCUUGCACGUGUCUAUCUGCUGUGAUCAACUUGCGGGUUUGUGACAAUUGGGAACCUAUGCAUAUGGGUUGGCACACGUGGAUUCAUGUGAGUACUUGAUGUAUGUUUUGGUGAUCAACUUGCGGGUUCGUGACAUUGGGAACCUAUGCACAGGGGUUGGCACACGUUUUGACUCUCUGGUAGAAACUUUGGGACACUCUUUGAAGUUCUAUGUGUUGGUUGAAUAGAUGAUUCUGAGAUUUUGUGAUGCAUAUCGUAUAAUCAUGCCCAGGGAUACUUCAGGUGACAAUGGAGUAUCUAGGUCACAUUAGGGUCUUGGUUGAUAUGUAUCUUAAGGUGUUAUUCUAGUACGAACUCUAUGAUGGAUCGAACGAAAAGAAUAGCUUCGUGUUAUUUUACUACGGACUCUUGAAUAGAUCGAUCAGAAAGAAUAACUUUGUGGUGGUUUCGUACCCGACAAUAAUCUCUUCGUUUGUUCCCCGCUGUUAGUGACUUUGGAGUGACUCUUUGUUGCAUGUUGAGGGCUAGUUAUAUGAUCCAAUUGUGUUAUCAUUGUUGAGAGAACUUCACUAGUGAAAGUAUGAACCCUAGACCUUGUUUCCACGCAUUGCAAUACCGUUCCUGCUCACUUUUACCAUUUGUUACCUUGCUGUUUUUGUAAUUUCAGAUUACAAAAACCUAUAUCUACCAUCCAUAUGGCACUUGUAUCACCAUCUCUUCGCCGAACUAGUGCACCUAUACAACUUACCAUUGUAUUAAGUGUGCUGGGGACACAAGAGACUCUUUGUUAUUUGGUUGCAGGGUUGCUUGAGAGAGACCAUCUUCAUCCUACGCCUCCCGCGGAUUGAUAAACCUUAGGUCACCCACUUGAGGGGAAAUUGCUACUGUCCUACAACCCUCUGCACUUGGAGGCCCAACAAUGUCUACAAGGAGAAGGUUGCUUAGUAGACAUCAAGCUCUUUUCUGGCGCCGUUACCGGGGAGGCUAGGUAAGCGGCACUAACAUCCCAUCAACGAAGAUCUUUUCUGGCAGCGUUGCCGAGGAGGUUAGCACUUGAAGGUAAAUCUUUAGAUCUUGCAAUCGAAUCUUUUUGUUUCUUGUUCUUUCGCUGAAAAUUACAAAAAAAUGGAAUUGAGGAUGCCUCAUAUGCUCCAUCUUUUCAAUGUCUUUCGUGAGCAUGAUGGGAAGGAAAAUUGUGCUCAAGUGCUGAAAUAAGAAUUACACAGAAUGCUUGGCAUAGAAUAUGAGAAUGAUGAGCAUGAUUGCAAUGUUGUUAGCAUGAAUUCUAUGAAUACCCAUGAUGCUAAUGAUAUGCAAAGCCACAAGCUUGGGGAUUCUAUAUUUGAUGAAGAUGAUCUUUUUAGUUCUUCCACUUUGAAUGAUCAAAAUUAUUUUGAUGAAAGCAUGCCCCCUAUCUAUGAUGAUUAUUGUGAGGAUACUUAUGCUUUGAAGAAGAGGGAUGAUAAAGCUUGUCAUACUUUCGAAAACCCUUUGCUAAACCUUCCUUUUUCAUUGUGGACACAAUUUGUAGUGCUCAAGUCUUUUACGAUACUCCCACUACUAUUCUUGAGAAUAGAUUUCCUUAUGUGGAGAGUACUAAAAUUUCUAUGCUUGUAGAUCAUGAAAAGAAAGCUUUAGGUGCUGGUUAUAUUGUUGAAUUCAUUCAUGAUGCUACUGAAAAUUACAAUGGGAGAGGAUCAUAUGCUUCUACUUAUUGCAAUAGUAUCAAGCUUCCUCUCCAUAUGUUGAAAUUUUUGAAGCUAUGCUUGUUUUGCCUUCCUAUGCUAGUUGAUUCUUCCUCCAAUAAAUUGUUUGAUCACAAAAUCCCUAUGCAUAGGAAGUGGGUUAGACUUAAAUGUGCUAGCCAUUUGCUCGAUGAUGAUCUUGUUGUGUUUCAAUCCUUACCUUUUAUGUGAGCAUCAUUGAAAUCAAUGCCUAGCUAAGGGCGUUAAACGAUAGCGCUUGUUGGGAGGCAACCAAAUGAAUAAAUUUUUCUUUGCUCUUUGCUACCUAUUUUGUUUUCUCCACACCAUCAUAAUUCUGUUAUGAUUGUGUCUUUUGUGUUUCUUUUUGUGCUUGUGCCAAGCAAAACCGUUAUGAUUAGUCUUGGUGAUGAUUGUUUAAUCAUGCUGGAAAAAGACAGAAACUUUCUCCUCACGAAAAGAAUUUUCAUUUUUAUUCUCUAAGAGCUUUUGAGUUGAUUUUCUUUGCUUCUGAUUGCUAUGCAAUUUAUUCAGACUGUCGUAAUUGGUAAAAAAAAUUGAAGUACGAGAGGUAUACCAAAGUAUACAGACUGCUACAGACUGGUCUGCUUUUAACAAAUUCUGUUUUUGUUGAGUUGGUUGCUUAUUUUGAUGAAACUAUGGAUAGUAUCGGAGGGUAUUAGCCAUGGAAGAUUGAAAAUACAGUAACCCAACAUCAUCAUAAGUAGAAUUUAAGUUUGCUAAAGUACCUAAGUAAGUGGUGGUUUGCUUUCUCAUACUAAUGUUAUCACGAGUUUCUGUUUAAGUUUCGUGUUGUGAAGUUUUCAAGUUUUGGGUGAAGUUCUUAUGGACAAAGAGAUAAAGAGUGGCAAGAGCUCAAGCUUGGGGAUGCCCAAGGCACCCAAAGUUGAUUCAAGGAUGCCGAAAAAGCCUAAGCUUGGGGAUGCCCCGGGAAGGCAUCCCCUCUAUCGUCUUCAAUCCAUCGGUAACGUUACUUGGGGCUAUAUUUUUAUUCACCACAUGUUAUGUGGUUUUGCUUGGAGCGUCUUGUAUCGUAGGAGUCUUUUAUUUUUGUUGUGUCACAAUCAUCCUUGCUGCACACCUAGAUAGAGAGACAUGCACUCACCGUGAUUUUGUCGAGCUUCACUUAUAUCCUUUGGUAGUCAAUUCAGCUCACAUGUGGUUCACUUAUAUCUUUUGAGCUAGAUACUUUUGCUCUAUGUGCUUCACUUAUAUCUUUUAGAGCGCAGCAGUGCGUGGCUUGGUAGUUGAUCUAUGCUUUGAAAGUAGUCUCAAAAGGGGUAGUUAUCCAAAGGGAUACGAAAACUUCCACCUUCAUGUGCAUUGAAUAGUUAGAGAAGUUUGAUUCAUCUCAAUUAGUUUUGAGUUGUGGUUUUGGUAAUAUUGAAGUCAUGCUAGUAAGGUGUUGUGGAUCUAGAAAUACUUGUGUUGAAGUUAGUGAUUCCCGUAGCAUGCACGUAUGGUGAAUCGCUAUGUGAUGAAGUAUGAGCAUGAUUAGUCUUUUGAUUGUCAUCCUUUGCGUGGCGGUCGGGAUCGCGCGAUGGUUUAUACCUACCAACCCUUCCCCUAGGAGUAUGCGUUGAAUGCUUUGUUUCAAUUACUAAUAAAACUUUUGCAACAAGUAUAUGAUUUCUUCAUGACUAAUGUGGAGUCCAUGGUUUAGAUGCACUUUCACCUUCCACCAUCACUAUCUUCUUAGUGCCGUGCAACUUUCAUCGGUGCACAAAACCCACCAUUAGCCUCCCUCAAAACAGCCACCAUACCUACCUACUAUGGCUUUCUCAAAGUCAUUCCGAGAUAUAUUGCCAUGCAACUACCACCAUGACAUGUGCCACCAUGUCUACAUUGCCAUUGCAUGAUCGUAAGAUAGCUAGCAUGAUUUUUCCAUUAAUGUCUAUGCCAUGCUAGAUCAUUGUCACGGUACACUACCGAAGGCAUUCCAUAUAGAGUCAUCGUUGCUCUGAGUUUUGAGUUGAGUGAUCAUCAUUGAUGGAGCAUUGUCCCAUGUGAGGAAAUAAAAGAGGCCAAAGAUGCCCAACAAAAAAAAAGAGGCCAAAGAGCCCACCAAAAAAAUGAGAGAAAAAGAGAGAAGGGACAAUGCUACCACCUUUCCACACUUAUGCAUAUUAAGCACCAUGGUCUUCAUGAUAGAGAGUCUCUCGUUUUGUCACCACCAUAUAGCUAGUGGGAAAUUUUCAUUAUAUAACUUGGCUUGUAUAUUCCUAUGAUAGGCUUCCUCAAAAUUGCCUUAGGUCUUCGUGAGCAAGCAAGUUGGAUGCACACCCACUAGUUUUCUUUAAGAGCUUUCACAUACUCGUAGCUCUAGUGCAUUAUUUGUAUGGCAAUCCCUACUCGUUCACAUCGAUAUCUAUUGAUGAGCAUCUCCACAGCUUAUUGAUAUGCCUAGUUAAUGUGAUCAUCUUCUCCUUUUUUGUCUUGCAACCUCCACCACACUCCACACCACUUAUAGUGCUAAAACCAUGGCUCACGCUCACGUAUUGCAUGAGAGUUGAAAAGGUUUGAGAAAGUAAAGGUGUGAAACAAUUACUUUGCCAAUACCGGGGUUGUGCAUGAUUUAAAUUCAUUGUGCAAUGAUGAUAGAGCAUAGCGAGACUAUAUGAUUUUGUAGGGAUAACUUUAUUUUUGGCCUUGUUAUUUUGAAAGUUCAUGAUUACCUUGCUAGUUUGCUUGAAGUAUUAUUGUCUCCACAUCAAUAGCAACCUAUUGUUUUGAAUCUAACGGAUCUGAACAUUCAUGUCCCAUGAGAGAAGUUACAAAGGACAACUACGUUAGGUAGCAUUUCACAUCAAAACUUCAUUCUUUAUCACUUCCCUACUCGACGACGAGCAGGAGUUAAGCUUGGGGAUGCUUGAUACGUCUCCAACGUAUCUAUAUUUUUUGAUGGUUCCAUGCUAUUAUCUUGUCAACUUUGGAUGUUUUAUAUUCAUGAAUAUGCUAUUUUAUAUCUUUUUGGGACUAACCUAUUAACUCAGUGCCAAGUGCCAGUUUCGGUUUUUCUGUGUUUUUGGCCCAUUUUCAGACGAAGUCCAAAUGGAAUGAAACUUUACGAUGAUUUUUUUGGACCAAAAGAGACCCCCAAAGCUUUGGGAGAAGGCCAGAUGGGCCACGAGGGAGUCACAAGCCCUCACGCCGCCACCACCACCCCCCCGAUGGUGGCGCGCAGGCUUGUGACCUCCUCGUGGGCCCAACUGACGCAAUUCCACUGCCAUAAAUUCCUAUAAAAUCAGAAACCCCAGAAAGAAACCUAGAUCGGGAGUUCCGCCGCUGCAAGCCUCUGUAGCCAUCAAAAACCAAUCUGGAGCCCGUUCUGGCACCCUGCCGGUGGGGGAAUCCAUCUCAGGUGGCCAUCUUCAUCAUCCCGGUGAUCUCCAUGAUGAGGAGGGAGUAGUUCUCCCUCGGGGCUGAGGGUAUGUACCAGUAGCUAUGUGUUUGAUCUCUCUCUCUCGUGUUCUUGAGAUGUCUUGAUCUCGAUGUACCAUGGGCUUUGCUACUAUAGUUGGAUCUUAUGAUGUUCUUCCCCCUCUCCCUCUUGUAAUGAAUUGAGUUUCCCCUUUGGAGUUAUCUUAUCGGAUUGAG